AUUAGCUGACGAGUCCCGAAUAGGACGAAAUGCGCAUCCUGAAU
This 44-nucleotide non-coding RNA is filed under the name Trichobilharzia regenti. Lineage: Eukaryota; Metazoa; Platyhelminthes; Trematoda; Strigeidida; Schistosomatidae. The record is from RNAcentral.